This 253-nucleotide ribosomal RNA is filed under the name uncultured bacterium. RNAcentral's name for it is "partial 16S ribosomal RNA". It matches the Rfam family "Bacterial small subunit ribosomal RNA", at positions 524 to 776 of the family's 1533-position model. The record is from RNAcentral.
UACGAAGGGGGCUAGCGUUGCUCGGAAUCACUGGGCGUAAAGCGCACGUAGGCGGCUUUCUAAGUCAGGGGUGAAAUCCUGGAGCUCAACUCCAGAACUGCCUUUGAUACUGGAGAGCUUGAGUCCGGAAGAGGUGAGUGGAACUCCGAGUGUAGAGGUGAAAUUCGUAGAUAUUCGGAAGAACACCAGUGGCGAAGGCGACUCACUGGACACGUAUUGACGCUGAGGUGCGAAAGCGUGGGGAGCAAACAGG